CUUAAGCAUAUCAAUAAGCGGAGGAAAAGAAACUAACAAGGAUUCCCCUAGUAACGGCGAGUGAAGAGGGAAAAGCUCAAAUUUUGAAUCCGACGUCUUCGGCGUCCGAGUUGUAAUCUAGAGAAGUGUUUUCCGUGUCGGACCGUGCACAAGUUCCCUGGAACGGGGCGUCAUAGAGGGUGAGAAUCCCGUACGUGGCACGGACUCCCGGUGCUCUGCGAUACACUCUCAACGAGUCGAGUUGUUUGGGAAUGCAGCUCAAAAUGGGUGGUAAAUUCCAUCUAAAGCUAAAUAUUGGCGAGAGACCGAUAGCGAACAAGUACCGUGAGGGAAAGAUGAAAAGCACUUUGGAAAGAGAGUGAAACAGUACGUGAAAUUGUUGAAAGGGAAGCGUUUGAAGUCAGUCGCGUCUGUCGGGGUUCAGCCUGGCUUCUGCCUGGUGUAUUCCCUGUCCGACGGGUCAGCAUCAGUUUCUGCCGAGAGAGAAAGGCUUGGGGAAUGUGGCCAUCUUCGGGUGGUGUUAUAGCCCUUUGUCAUAUGUCUCGGUGGGGACUGAGGACUGCAGCGCGCCUUAUGGCCGGGGUUCGCCCUCGGUACGCGCUUAGGAUGCUGGCAUAAUGGCUUUAAGCGACCCGUCUUGAAACA
RNAcentral lists this ribosomal RNA (645 nucleotides) under Sebacina cf. vermifera sensu Warcup & Talbot. RNAcentral's name for it is "eukaryotic LSU rRNA". It matches the Rfam family "Eukaryotic large subunit ribosomal RNA", at positions 33 to 661 of the family's 3401-position model. Lineage: Eukaryota; Fungi; Basidiomycota; Agaricomycetes; Sebacinales; Sebacinaceae. The record is from RNAcentral.